UUGUACAGCUUUUACCGCUAGCGUAUUAAUUUUAGUGAAAAAAAUGCGGAACCCUUGCCUGUCGUCCGUUUACUUACUAAAAGUUACAGGUAGUAUGUACGCCGGCCAUUUUCCGGGUUCGGGAAA
This is a small RNA of Pseudomonas fulva 12-X, 126 nucleotides long. It matches the Rfam family "Pseudomonas sRNA P14". The record is from Rfam. Lineage: Bacteria; Pseudomonadati; Pseudomonadota; Gammaproteobacteria; Pseudomonadales; Pseudomonadaceae.